Molecule: long non-coding RNA, 856 nt
Filed under: Carica papaya (papaya)
Lineage: Eukaryota; Viridiplantae; Streptophyta; Magnoliopsida; Brassicales; Caricaceae
Source: RNAcentral
UUCACCCAUUUUCUUGUGAAGUCCUCGUGUUGCACCCAUUUUUUUGCAGAUGAUUCUUUCGACGUUACGCGCGACUUGAAUUAUGGUCCUCAGGUUUAUUCGCAAAUGUGAGUCACGGCGCUGUAGCAUUUUACUUGAUAUUAGAAUGAAAACGGGAGGUGCAGUGCACACGCACAAGGAAACAAAUGACGGGAGGGGGAAGAAAGGGGAAUGAGUUUAUGUCUUUGUAGCGCAAAAUUAAACAGGUGCAAUCAUACCAGCACUAAUGCACCGGAUCCCAUCAGAACUCCGCAGUGAAGUGUGCUUGGGCGAGAUUAGUAUUCGGAUGGGUUGUUCGACGUUACACGCGAAUGAAAUUAUAAACCACUGGUUUAUUUGCAAAUGUGAGUCACAGUGCCGGGGCAUAUUACUUGAUAUUAGAAUGAGAAAGAGAGAUGCAGAGUGCACGCACAAGGAAACAAAUGACGGGAGGGGGAUGGGAGGAGAAAGAGUGUAUGUAUUUGCAGUGCAGAAUGAAACAGGUGCGAUCAUACCAGCACUAAUGCAACGGAUUCUAUCAGAACUCCGCAGGUAAGGGUGCUUGGGCGAGAGUAGUACUAGCAUGGGUUACCUCCGGCGAAGUCCUUAUAUUUCACCCAUUUUCUUGUGAAGUCCUCGUGUUACACCCAUUUUUUUGCAGAUGAUUAUUUCGACGUUACGCGCGACUUGAAUUAUGGUCCUCAGGUCUAUUCGCAAAUGUGAGUCACGGCACCGUAGUAUUUUACUUGAUAUUAGAACGAGCACGGGAGGUGCAGUAUGCACGCACAAGGAAACAAAUGACGGGAAAGGGAAGAGAGGAGAAGGAGUUUAUGUAUUU